AGGACGAACGCUUGCGGCGUGCCUAAGAAAUGCAAGUCGAACGGGGGCUUCGGCCCUAGUGGCGAACGGUCGCGUAACACGUGGGCAACCUGCCCUGAAGCGGGGGACAACAGUCCGAAAGGAUUGCUAAUACCGCAUGUGGCUCUUGAAGGCAUCUUCAAGAUCUAAAGGCGAAAGUCACUUCAGGAUGGGCCCGCGGCCUAUCAGCUUGUUGGCGGGUAACGCCCACAAGGCGACGAC
RNAcentral lists this ribosomal RNA (240 nucleotides) under uncultured bacterium. Its description in RNAcentral is "partial small subunit ribosomal RNA". It matches the Rfam family "Bacterial small subunit ribosomal RNA", at positions 26 to 280 of the family's 1533-position model. The record is from RNAcentral.